GAGUUGUUGCUGGUCCUCAGACGAGGGCAUGUGCACGCUCUGUUUACACAUCCACUCACACCUGUGCACCCUCUGUAGUUCUAUGGUCUGAGGGGCUCUGUCCUCUCGCCGUGGCUCUAUGUCUUUACACACGCACUGUAAUAAAGUUUCAUGGAAUGCAUGACGCGUUUAACGCAAUACAAUACAACUUUCAGCAACGGAUCUCUUGGCUCUCGCAUCGAUGAAGAACGCAGCGAAAUGCGAUAAGUAAUGUGAAUUGCAGAAUUCAGUGAAUCAUCGAAUCUUUGAACGCACCUUGCGCCCUUUGGCUAUUCCAGAGGGCAUGCCUGUUUGAGUAUCAUGAACACCUCAACUCUCACGGUUUGCCGUGAUGAGCUUGGACUUUGGAGGUCUUGCCGGCCUGUGGUUGGCUCCUCUCAAAUGAAUCAGCUUGCCAGUGUUUGGUGGCAUCCCAGGUGUGAUAACUAUCUACGCUUGUGGCUUUCCACCAGGUAACCUUCAGCGAUGGAGGUUCGCUGGGGCUCACAAAUGUCUCUCCUAAGUGAGGACGGCUUCUUGAAUGUUUGAUCUCAAAUCAGGUAGGGCUACCCGCUGAACUUAAGCAUAUCAAUA
RNAcentral lists this ribosomal RNA (612 nucleotides) under uncultured Tomentella. RNAcentral describes it as "eukaryotic LSU rRNA". The stretch from base 186 to 340 matches the Rfam family "5.8S ribosomal RNA". The record is from RNAcentral. Lineage: Eukaryota; Fungi; Basidiomycota; Agaricomycetes; Thelephorales; Thelephoraceae.